CCAGACUCCUACGGGAGGCAGCAGUGAGGAAUAUUGGUCAAUGGUCGGGAGACUGAACCAGCCAAGCCGCGUGAGGGAUGAAGGUACAGAGUAUCGUAAACCCCUUUUGUCAGGGAACAAAGGCGGGGACGUGUCCCCGGAUGAGUGUACCUGAAGAAAAAGCAUCGGCUAACUCCGUGCCAGCAGCCGCGGUAAUACGGAGGAUGCGAGCGUUAUCCGGAUUUAUUGGGGUUAAAGGGGGCGCAGGCGGGGUGUAAGUGGGCAGGGGAAAGCGGGGGGGCACCCCCCCGACCCCGCCGUUGAAACUGGCAGUCUCGAGUUGGAGAGAAGUAUGCGGAAUGCGCGGUGUAGCGGUGAAAUGCAUAGAUAUCGCGCAGAACUCCGAUUGCGAAGGCAGCAUGCCGGCUCCACACUGACGCUGAGGCACGAAAGCGUGGGUAUCGAACAGGAUUAGAUACCCUGGUA
Molecule: ribosomal RNA, 465 nt
Filed under: uncultured bacterium
Lineage: Bacteria
Description: bacterial SSU rRNA
Rfam family: Bacterial small subunit ribosomal RNA
Source: RNAcentral